AAGGAUCAUUGUCAAAACCUGCCCAGCAGAGCGACCGUGAACGAGUGAAAACNNGNNNNNGNGGUUCNNGGAGGGGGGNNCCCCCNANNNCGNCUGUCCGUCGGAACAUGGUCCCCCAUCGCGACCGCGCCGAAAGGAUGGCUGCAGGGUGGGGCAGUGUUUCCGAACUAAACCAAAAACCAGCGCUACAGGCGCCAAGGAAAUCUUAGCGGAAACAGGGGGUCGCACCGUUUGCGAUCGUGGCUUUCGGAAUCCGAUACUCGAACGACUCUUGGCAACGGAUAUAUCGACUCUUGCAUCGAUGAAGAACGUAACGAAAUGCGAUACUUGGUGUGAAUUGCAGAAUCCCGUGAACCAUCAUGUUUUUGAACGCAAGUUGCGCCCGAGGCCACUAGGUCGAGGGCACGUCUGCCUGGGCGUCACACACAGCGUCGCACCCCGCCNACCACGUUGCCGGGGAGCGGAAAUUGGCCCCCCGGGCCGAAAGGGGCACGGUCGGCACAAAUGUUGGUCCCCGAUAGCGAGCGUCGCGGUUAGCGGUGGUUGUAUUACUCACCCCCCGAAGACNUCAANACGCGCUGCUCCGCUGCACGACUGGACAAACGACCCCACGGAAUCGCCUCAUGCGGCAUCCACCCUGNGACCACAGGUCNGGCGGGACUACCCGCUGAGUUUAA
RNAcentral lists this ribosomal RNA (677 nucleotides) under Delphinium venulosum. Its description in RNAcentral is "eukaryotic LSU rRNA". The stretch from base 267 to 422 matches the Rfam family "5.8S ribosomal RNA". Lineage: Eukaryota; Viridiplantae; Streptophyta; Magnoliopsida; Ranunculales; Ranunculaceae. The record is from RNAcentral.